CCAGGUUUCAAGACAAAUUUAUUCAUGAAUGCAGAUAAUUCCAGUGCUUCAAGUGUUAACUUACAUUUUCUUGCCAUUGCAGUGAUGUGAUGGAGGAAUUCUGACAACCCACUUUUCAAUCAUGAUUCAUAUUUUUUUUCGCUGUCAGCUGUCACUUACCAGUGAUGCAUUCUUAUACUUUCUCUUCCUGGGCCAGCUAUUGCUUGGAAGGAAUUCCAGUCGAGUUGAUGUUAAUAUUUGUCAUCAGACAGAAGUACCAGUAUCCAUCAAACAGAACAGUAGACAACCAAACAGCACAAAGAAACAAAUAUGUGGGAAAAAAAACAACAACAACAAAAAAAACUUUGCAAUAAAGUAUCAGAAAAAAAUUGCAACAAUAUGGACAGUGGCAACAACAUAUAACCUCCGUGUAGAAACUUUCAGGAUAAAAAAUGAGCAUAAAAGUAUGGAGAGCCAAGGAGGCUCCAUCACUUACACUACAGUUCAAAAGUUUGGGGUCACUUUGAAAUGUCCUUAUUUUUGAAAGAAAAGCAUUUUUUUUCAAUGAAGAUAACAUUAAAUGAAUCCAGUCUAGAAAUUGUUAAUGUGGUAAAUGACUAUUCUAGCUGGAAACGGCUGAUUUUUAAUGGAAUAUCUCCAUAGGGGUACAGAGGAACAUUUCCAGCAACCAUCACUCCUGUGCUCUAAUGCUACAUUGUGUUAGCUAAUGGUGUUGAAAGGAUAAUUGAUGAUUAGAAAACCUUGUGCAAUUAUGUUACCACAUGAGUAAAAGUGUGAGUUUUCAUGGAAAACGUGAAAUUGCCUGGGUGACCCCAAACCUUUGAAUGGAAGUGUACAUGUAAGCCAAGGUUACAUUAGCAAACAUAGUUCAUAUCAAAAAAGUAAGCAAUGACCAGCAGUGUACUCACAAUACAAGAGAAAACUUUGAGAAAGUUUCGAGGAACAUCAGUGUGCUGUCCUAAAUGAAAAAUGUUGAGUUACAAAAUCUUACAACACAGUUCAGUUAUCCUUCUUCGCUUCACCAGUUUUUUCCUGGUAGAUGUAUUUGUUCUCUAAGUUUAAAUAGUUUGAACAGUUGAGUAGAAACACAUCCACACCAGUCGAAGGGAUGUUUUUUUAGCCACAAAAUCAAAGCCGUUUGCAUGCAUGAACCUCGUAUGAACAGUUCUCAGGAGUAAUGUGCCAGUGUUAAUCAGGGUUACAGCAAUGUUGGUUGUAAUGAAAAGCUCCCAUUCUUUCACAUGGCUGGAGAGGUUGGAGAACCUGGGGAUAGCUUGUUUUGUCAUAGCAAGUAUGAAGCAGGUAUGAAACUAAGAAGAAAGCCAGAGUAACUGCCUUCGCUCAUUAGUUGAAAUCUACCUUUGGCUUCUCAGAUGGUAUUUUAAAUUUGUAUGUAUGCAGAUUUAAGUUACAUUGUUAUCAGCCAUCCUUUCCAUGGUUUUCAUCUUUUUUCUUUAAUUGCUGUUGUCAGCAGUCUUUACAUUUUUGCUGCAUUGGGUAUUACUUCCUCCUACUGCCACCGUUGCAACGUGCAGACUGUUUCUGACUUUGGUUUUUGUGACACUACAGCAGUCAAUAAUGACAAUAUAUUAAAUUUCUCACCAAUAUUUUUUAGUCUGUACUCAAAUCUGCUUGAUUAGGCCAAUACAAUAUCUCAGCUGAUACAAUUUUAAUGUUCUUUUGGAAAGCUUGGUGAACAAUGACUGCACGUUGAUUUAGUUGAACAAGGGCAUGUUGAGAUGAUCAGCUACACAUUGAAACGAUCCAUCUCAAGGAAAUCUGACAUUUGUACAGACAAUUUUUUAUUUUGACUGUCAGAACCUCGUGUUUUUCAAUGUUUCUGUCAAAUUUACUAAUUAUUUUUAGGUUUACAUGAAAAUAUGACAGAUUUUUGAUGUGGCCAAUACAAUACAUUACCUCGUACAUGCACACAUUACACAUGUAUACAGUCAAUAUUCUGUAUUGAUGGUAAAAGGUAUGCUGCUCUGAUGAACUGAGUGAAUAUGUGCUCCACAUUCAUUCUGCAACAGCUGUAGCAAAAAUAGAACUGUGUGAAUUUGUGAAUCUGAAGCAGUUUUCUCAGUGACUUAAAAUUUUUUGAUACGUUAACAAGAAUAAUUUCUACAAAUACUAAUUCUACGUCAGUCUCAGAGCAGUACUACAAAAUAUUGUCAUAUCAGACUAUAGUAAAGAAAACUAUGAUAAAACUAUAAUAGGUAGUCACAGAAUGGAAAAAGGUCUUAAGUCCUUUAUCACUAUGUAAAGCUAUUGGUACCACAAUGUAAGAAUACUGCACUUAUGAGUUUAUGUAAGUAAAAGUAUUUAAAGUCAAAUGUAGUAAAAUAUAAGAAGUACAAGUACUCAUGGAUUUUAUAGACCUGUCGCAUAAGGUCUAAUGUGUCACACUGUAAGUAUUUCAUUCUCAUUUCACAUACUGCUGGUAUUAAACUCUUAAAGGAAUAGUCCUACAUUUAGCUUUUCAUAGUUCAUAAAUAUUAACCAUCUUUCCGUGAGGAAGAUGAACAGUCAGACGGAUAUCAACUUCUGUGUUUUCAAAAGACAAACUUUGAUUUCAGAAGGAGCUUUGGGCUGGAACUGUUUCUUCAAACAACAUCUGCAUCCUGAGGUCUUUCCAUCGCAGAAAGGCUGCCAGUACAGAGCCCACAACUACAGCCUGUGCUCACUGAUCAUAUCUGGCAACCCAUGUAGCCUGCUUGGAGGAUCAAUAAACUAUUAUUCCAAGAACAGGACAUAGUCAUGUAUAUUUCAGCACACAACUCCUCCUAAAGCCAUGAAGUGGCAUUUGCAGACAUUCUUCUAGAUCUUAUUCUGUUGGUAAUCUUUAUGCUAAGCUAGGCUAACCACAUGUGGACUCAAGCUCCUGACCCAAUAUACAAACAUUUGAUUAAUGUCACUUUUUUCAUUUCACUCUCAAAAACAAACCAUAUAAGAGUAUAACUGCAAUGUUGAACUAUUUCUUUAAGACACAGACAAGAACCUGAUAUCAACUGUCUGCUAACUCUCAGAGAGAAAGCUAAUAAGAGUGUUUCAUAAAUCUUGAACAACUGCUUUAAAUAAGGAAAAAUAAAAUGAAAGAAAGGACAGACUCAGUAUUUGUCUUUACUUAAAACAGAACAAAUGAGGAAUGCUUGUUCAUGUCUCACCUUCUGGAGCUCCACGGCAUUAUCAAUCAAGCCAUGAUAAAGCAAUCACUCCAAAUGAAGCACAGAGAAAGAUUUAAUGUACAGAGAUAAAGGUUCGCAUCACUAAGUGCAUAUCAAAAUAAAAUUAUCUUUGAAGCCUACACAUUUGUCACACUGACUAGUUUAAACUCUAGUAGUGCAUCUUAUUUAUAUUUUGCUCAUAACAACAUUAGUCUUCAAGGUAACUAGUUACUACAGCUGUUAAUGGAAUGGAGUAAAAAGGACAACAGUUUUCUCUGAAGGUCUCACAAAAUGAAAUUACUCACAUGAAGUACUAUACUAAAUGUACGGAAAACUUUUUAUCUGUUGGUUUAACUAACCCAAACCUGCAUUACUCUUUCAGCACAUCGCCAUUUCACCACCCCAUUCUGUUAAAUUGUUCAUCUGUUCUGAGAACAAAAUUAGGAUUCUUUUUUCAUGCCACUGCGUACUGAUGUACAAAAUGCUCUACACGUCUUUCGUGAAAUGAUUCAGUUUUGAAGCAACAUUGUCAAACUGACAGAACCGAUCUUACAUGAAACUUGAUGACUCUUUCUGAACAUCAAAAUGUACAACGAGAACAUUUGUGUUUCUUUGAAGUUGAUGCUACUUUACAAGAGAUGGGAGCUUAUCUAUUAUUGCCAGAGACAACUAAAGUGCAUGCUGCUUUACCCACUAACUCAAUGGCUUGUACAGUAAUUCAAUAAAACAUACAUUAAUGUUAUAGUUAACCCUAUAAUACCUAUAGGGUUUGCAGCACAAUGUAUUAGCAGUUUAUUCACUUGUAUACUAAGUAUACAAUCAUCAUAUUUUUCAAAGUGCUAUAAGUAACCCAAAAACAUAUUUCAAUAAUAAUUCAAAUCAUCGUCACAUUAAACCACCAAUGAUAUUAACUUUGACUUUUGUUUAUGUGCUGUAGGGCCACUGGCUAGAAGAAAGACACACAUUUAACUUAGAUAAAUUUUCAACUAAGGUUCAUAUUGAAAAAAAAAAAGUUUUAAAAAUUUACUCAAAAUUUGCUGGGUAUUUUUUUUCUGCUAAUUUAAUUGACAAACAUAAAGGUUUAGCAGUUUAGCAUGAAAUUUGGCACUUCUUUGAGCUUCCUUGAGCACCCACCAUCCAUCCACAUUCAGUGAAAAAAUAUUGUGCAUAUUGAACAUAUUGUAUAUUUGUACACAAUUUACCGUAAACACAAGUCUAAAGUAAGCAAGGGUCUCCAGCUCUCUGGGAAUUCUGAAAACACAGUGACUCCACAGCUGACGAUACUCUCCCUGAUUAAUGCGAUCUGAGGGCUCUACUUGAUGUUAAAGCCAAUCAUAUAUUUGAUAUCAUUAGCAAAAAUGCUUUGUUUUAUUUUCGUCAUCAUCUAAUAGAUCCUCUGUGUCAGAGUAUCCCUGAAUGGUACAUCCUGGUCUUUUGUGCUCUUGCCACCUGUACAUAUGGUACCAUAACCUUUCAUAAACAACAUUUUAUUAGAUGGUAGUGGCAAAUUUUAACAUUUUUUUUAAUAAGUUGUGGCUAAAGGUCUAAUAUUGUGUCAUAGGGAUGAACUCUGGUAGACGAUGGGUCAAUAAAGUGUCUAACACCUGUCACCAUUGUUGCACUGUUAUUUCUCACCUCUCUAGCAUUAUCAAAGUAGCUGUUUUCACCCCAAACUUCAGUCUGUCCCGAACACUAACCAGUGCCCAACCCUAACUAAACUAUAACUAAAACACUGACAGGUCAGAAAGCAGUCAUACUCAUAAUUUUUUAACAAUAACCCAUAACCAUUUCACACCUCUGCGGACCUAAGCAAAGAAAAGGAGCACCACAGCCUUGUUAUUUAUUGGCCUACAACUUGUUAACCCAUUACUAAACAUGACUUACAAAAAUGUCAAUGAAAAGGUUUAAUUCUGUGUUUAGUUAAAUGGUUGUUUAGCUGUUAUGUGACACCAAACAAUCUCCUUAUUAAGCAUAUUACUGAGCUAUACUAAAGACACUACUUACUAUUUGUAACCUUUUAAAAAGCAUCUCUUAAGUAAACGUUGAAUCGAAAAGGGUUAAUCACAUAUUCUGUUGGGCUGUGUGUUUGAUACCAUUCAAACCACACUGCACUCCAAUUCCACACUCCAAAAUAGAGGUUCUUCAAAGUCUGGGGGCCAAGCAGAAGAGCAUCAGGCAGAGAACAAAUAAUUUCAUCCUUGAAAUACUGCAGGAAAACUGUUAAACUUUGUUUGAAUGCUCUUUUCCCUUUAGGACAAUAUUUAGUAUCUUUGAUCACAUUCAAAAUGGUGAUCACUAAAACUCAUCAAACCACAUUUGUUGGAUUGAUCUCAAUCUGCAGAACUCAGUGGCAGAAACCUUUUUUUAAUGAGUGAAGCACUUCAAUUUAUAGACUUCAGAGGUUUGUAGAAGCACCUUAACCUUUGGCGGAGGUUUUUAGAAAAGUGAAACUCUACAAGCAAGUAUAUCUAACACUUGUCUAUGUAAUGAACUAUAUGGAUCAUUAACAAGGCAAAGAUGUGGAAAUGCAACUUACUGACAGCUUCUGCUAGAUUCAUUUGCAUGUAAAUAUCAAAGAGCUUAAAAUGCUUGGUAGGCCAUAAUAAAAGCAUUCCCAAGAUGCUUCAGUUCAUGUGAUGAUGACUGGGUCAACUUUAUGGGAAGAUGCAAAAAUAGGAAGAGAAAUGAUACUGGUGUUAUUGAUACAACUCAGUGUCUGUUUACAUAUAGUGCAUUAAGAUUAAAGGGUGAUUUAUAAAAGGUUAGAAGGUAAUAAUUUUGAGUUAUCGAUCCAGGGGGAAGAUAUAUAUGUAUGUCAGUAUGCCCAAUGCAAAGGUCUUUCAAUGGCAAAACUGAAGGACUGCAUUUAUCAGUAGGGGGUUGUUGGGUUUCUCUCUAUAAUAAUGAAAGACCUUACUAUGUAAAGUGACCCCCCACCCAUC
This is a long non-coding RNA of Amphiprion ocellaris (clown anemonefish), 6106 nucleotides long. The record is from Ensembl. Lineage: Eukaryota; Metazoa; Chordata; Actinopteri; Pomacentridae.